Molecule: ribosomal RNA, 333 nt
Filed under: Triticum aestivum (bread wheat)
Lineage: Eukaryota; Viridiplantae; Streptophyta; Magnoliopsida; Poales; Poaceae
Description: partial small subunit ribosomal RNA
Source: RNAcentral
AUGAGGAGAUUUUUGGUUAAUAGAGCAAGCACUGAAAAUGUGAAUGGUGUGCAACCGGAAAUAGAAGUGGAGGCACAACCACCUCCUAACAUUGCCAAUGAAUUUAAUCCAAAUGAUAUUGAGCGUGAUCCAGGGAAGAGGAAACAAAUUUGUGAGUACAUCUCCUUAAUUGUGACCACAACAACUACAUCUUGCAAGAGAAGGGAUGCAUUGACAGAGGCACAACACCAAGAUAUUCUGCAUAGACUUGAGAGUGGUGAGAUAUCUAUAGGAAGGGGCUUGCACCAAUCAUCUACUCUUGCUAGGCCAGGUGACACUAGAUGGGGUACUUAG